This 955-nucleotide non-coding RNA is filed under the name Cervus nippon centralis (Hondo sika deer). RNAcentral describes it as "12S rRNA". It matches the Rfam family "Bacterial small subunit ribosomal RNA", at positions 309 to 1533 of the family's 1533-position model. The record is from RNAcentral. Lineage: Eukaryota; Metazoa; Chordata; Mammalia; Artiodactyla; Cervidae.
CACAGGUUUGGUCCCAGCCUUCCUAUUGACCCUUAAUAAACUUACACAUGCAAGCAUCCACACCCCAGUGAAAAUGCCCUCCAAGUUAAUAAGACUAAGAGGAGCUGGUAUCAAGCACACAUCCGUAGCUCACGACACCUUGCAUAGCCACACCCCCACGGGAGACAGCAGUGAUAAAAAUUAAGCCAUAAACGAAAGUUUGACUAAGCCAUAUUAAUCAGGGUUGGUAAAUUUCGUGCCAGCCGCCGCGGUCAUACGAUUAACCCGAGUUAAUAGGCACACGGCGUAAAGCGUGUUAAAGCACUAUACUAAAUAAAGUUAAAUUCCAAUUAAGCUGUAAAAAGCCAUAAUUGCAACAAAAAUAAACAACGAAAGUAACUUUACAGCCGCUGAAACACGAUAGCUAGGACCCAAACUGGGAUUAGAUACCCCACUAUGCCUAGCCUUAAACACAAAUAGUUAUGUAAACAAAACUAUUCGCCAGAGUACUACCGGCAAUAGCUUAAAACUCAAAGGACUUGGCGGUGCUUUAUACCCUUCUAGAGGAGCCUGUUCUAUAAUCGAUAAACCCCGAUAAACCUCACCAUUCCUUGCUACUACAGUCUAUAUACCGCCAUCUUCAGCAAACCCUAAAAAGGUACAAAAGUAAGCACAAUCAUAAUACAUAAAAACGUUAGGUCAAGGUGUAACCUAUGGAACGGAAAGAAAUGGGCUACAUUUUCUAAUCUAAGAAAAUCCAACACGAAAGUUAUUAUGAAACUAAUAACCAAAGGAGGAUUUAGCAGUAAACUAAGAAUAGAGUGCUUAGUUGAAUUAGGCCAUGAAGCACGCACACACCGCCCGUCACCCUCCUCAAGUAGGCACAAUACACUCAAACUUAUUUACACGUAUUAAUCAUAUGAGAGGAGACAAGUCGUAACAAGGUAAGCAUACUGGAAAGUGUGCUUGGAUAAAU